CCAACCUCAGGGACCCCAAUGUGAAGGUACUUGAUGCCUCUUGGUCAGAAGAUGAUGGCGAGUUCCUCAUUCCAAUUGAGUUUAUAUUGUGUAGGUUUCUUCGUCAUGAUCUGGAUUGCCGCAGUCGUGUUCAAGUCCAAUGAUAUCUUGCGCAAGCAGACCGCUCUCAAGACUGCUCUCAAGGGCUUGUGCUUAUCUUGUGUAUCAACGUUCUUGUUCUGCUUCUAGCACUGGGUCUGUCCCUUCUAUUGAGGAAGCCGGCUGGCAGACUGUUGCCGUCACUAAAUCCCUAAC
Triticum dicoccoides is the source of this 294-nucleotide long non-coding RNA. RefSeq lists it as uncharacterized. The transcript is spliced from 3 exons. NCBI's taxonomy places the organism in Eukaryota, Viridiplantae, Streptophyta, Magnoliopsida, Poales, Poaceae. The record is from RefSeq and is a predicted model, not a curated record.